GACGAACGCUGGCGGCGCGCUUAACACAUGCAAGUCGAACGGAAAGGCCUGCUUUCCCUUGUGGAUUGCGGGUACUCGAGUGGCGAACGGGUGAGUAACACGUGAGUGAUCUGCCCCCAACUUGGGUAUAAGCCUGGGAAACUGGGUCUAAUUCCCGAUAGGACUGCAGGGUGGUGCCUGUGGUGGAAAACGAUUUUCUAGUGGUUGGGGAUGAGCUCGCGGCCUAUCAGCUUGUUGGUGGGCUAAUGGCCUACCAAGGCGGCGACGGGUAGCCGGCCUGAGAGGGUGGACGGCCACAUUGGGACUGAGAUACGGCCCAGACUCCUACGGGAGGCAGCAGUGGGGAAUAUUGCACAAUGGGCGGAAGCCUGAUGCAGCGACGCCGCGUGGGGGAUGACGGCCUUCGGGUUGUAAACUCCUUUCGACCGCGAGGAAGCCACCUGGUUGGAAGGGUGGUGACGGUAGUGGUAGAAGAAGCACCGGCUAACUACGUG
RNAcentral lists this ribosomal RNA (494 nucleotides) under uncultured bacterium. RNAcentral describes it as "partial 16S ribosomal RNA". It matches the Rfam family "Bacterial small subunit ribosomal RNA", at positions 28 to 507 of the family's 1533-position model. The record is from RNAcentral.